This is a non-coding RNA of Equus quagga, 384 nucleotides long. The record is from the annotation of a RefSeq genome assembly. NCBI's taxonomy places the organism in Eukaryota, Metazoa, Chordata, Mammalia, Perissodactyla, Equidae.
AGAAUGAACUUUUCUCCAGGGUCAGUGAUUGUGAUAUUCUUAAUGUUUGGAAGAAGCAAUGGAGACUCAGUGACCCAAACAAAAGGUCAGGUAACCCUCUCAGAAGGGGCUUCGCUGACUGUGAACUGCUCCUAUGAAACCACACAGUACCCUGCACUUUUAUGGUAUGUCCAAUAUCCCAGAAAAGGUCCACAGCUCCUCCUGAGAGCCUCAAAGGCCAACGAUAAGGAUCGCAACAAGGGUUUUGAAGCCACAUACAAUACAGAGACCACCUCCUUCCACUUGGAGAAAGCCUCAGUCCAAGAGUCAGACUCGGCCAUGUACUACUGUGCUCUGAGUGACACAGUGACAGGAACCGCAGAAAGAGCUGAACAUAAACUCUGA